GGAGUUAGCCGGUGCUUCUUCUGCGAGUAACGUCACAGAUGUAAGGUAUUAACUUACACCCUUUCCUCCUCGCUGAAAGUGCUUUACAACCCGAAGGCCUUCUUCACACACGCGGCAUGGCUGCAUCAGGGUUUCCCCCAUUGUGCAAUAUUCCCCACUGCUGCCUCCCGUAGGAGUCUGGGCCGUGUCUCAGUCCCAGUGUGGCUGAUCAUCCUCUCAGACCAGCUAGGGAUCGUCGCCUAGGUGAGCCUUUACCUCACCUACUAGCUAAUCCCACCUGGGCUUAAUCCAUCAGCGCAAGGCCCGAAGGUCCCCUGCUUUCCCCCGUAGGGCGUAUGCGGUACUUAGCAGUCGUUUCCAACUGUUAUCCCCCACAAAUGGGCAAAUUCCCAGGCAUUACUCACCCGUCCGCCGCUCGUCAUCUUCAAAAGCAAGCUUUUGAAAUGUUACCGCUCGACUUGCAUGUGUUAGUCUGCCGCCACGCGUUCAAUACUGAGCAGAUACAACUACUGA
RNAcentral lists this ribosomal RNA (513 nucleotides) under uncultured bacterium. Its description in RNAcentral is "partial 16S ribosomal RNA". The record is from RNAcentral.